GACGAACGCUGGCGGCGUGCUUAACACAUGCAAGUCGAACGGAAAGGCCCUGCUUUUGUGGGGUGCUCGAGUGACGAACGGGUGAGUAACACGUGAGUAACCUGCCCUUGACUUUGGGAUAACUUCAGGAAACUGGGGCUAAUACCGGAUAGGAGCUCCUGCUGCAUGGUGGGGGUUGGAAAGUUUCGGCGGUUGGGGAUGGACUCGCGGCUUAUCAGCUUGUUGGUGGGGUAGUGGCUUACCAAGGCUUUGACGGGUAGCCGGCCUGAGAGGGUGACCGGCCACAUUGGGACUGAGAUACGGCCCAGACUCCUACGGGAGGCAGCAGUGGGGAAUAUUGCACAAUGGGCGGAAGCCUGAUGCAGCAACGCCGCGUGCGGGAUGACGGCCUUCGGGUUGUAAACCGCUUUCGCCUGUGACGAAGCGUAAGUGACGGUAAUGGGUAAAGAAGCACCGGCUAACUACGUG
Molecule: ribosomal RNA, 468 nt
Filed under: uncultured bacterium
Lineage: Bacteria
Description: partial 16S ribosomal RNA
Rfam family: Bacterial small subunit ribosomal RNA
Source: RNAcentral